GGUAGAAAAGGUUAAAGAGAGUUCUUGUUGAAAUAAAAUUUAACAACAAACUAUUUUGAACAUAUGAGCAUGAUCCACAGACGGCUCUCUCCACACUGUUGCACUCAAAUAGUUUUGCAGGCUCUUGAUUUAUUCCUUCUCUUAAUAAAAGGUUUUCUGUGCAAACAGGGGAAAUGGUUAAAGUCGACAGGAAGAUUUAUGGUGCUAAAUACAAUGUAGUCCAGUGGAAAAACCUGUCUGAGGCGGGAAAAUACCUGUGGCUCAGGGGGAGGUUCACUUUCCAGUAAAACAAUAAUAUUAACAUACAGCCAAUGCUCCAAUGGAAUGGUUUGUUAGAUUGGCCCAGUCAAAACCCAGAUGUUAAAUCCAACUGACAAUCUGCGGCAAGGUUUGAAAAUCGCUGUCCACAAAAGCUGUAAAGUCAAUCUGACUGAAUAAAACAAAUGUCAUUCUCUGGAUGAUCAAAUUACCAACACAAAAAGAAACUAUUUUCAAUCCAUUUACACUGUGGAUUAUAGAGACACAGAAUUAAACGCAAACUGCAAAUGUCAACAUUAGAAUCCUAACACAGCUGAUAAACACAUUGCAUAGAAAAGCAAAUGAAGUUUGGAUUUCACUGUGAAAUGUGAAACACAAAGUGUUUUGGCUCUGUUGCUAUGCAGCUCAUUUAUAUAAUCGCUAAUUUAUAGAAUCUUUCCUGCAAUGUUGUGCUACUGGUUGCAGCAGAACUGCGGCUGUGUUUGAGACAUCGGCACAAUGGCUGCAUUAGUUUCACUUGGUAGUACCACAUUUUUACACCUCAAAAUAAAAUAAAGAUCAUGAACAUACCACAAAACCUACAGUGGCUUAUUUAUCAUUAAGCAUCCAAUUUUUGCUAUUUAAAGUUGCAAAAAUCAAAUUACAAUCUCUAAAGAUAAGAUGCAUAAAAAAAUACAGUACCUUAGUUUAUAAAAGCUUAUAAUAUUUAGACUUACAAAUUUUGCUUUGACUUUAUUUAAUUGAUUUAAACUGUGGCAGCUGUGGAAGCAAUACUGCCUUGCAACAAAAAGGUUCGAGGCUUGAAUCUAGAGUUUUCUACAUAGAGUUUGUAUGUUCUCCACUUGUGCAUGUGUGGGUUUUCUCCAGCUACUCUGGUUUCAAAAACAUGUCAAAAAACAUGACUGUUUGAAUAAUCGGUCUCUCUUAAUUUGCCUUAGAAGUGUGUAUUUGUGCAAGGUUGUUUUUUUUUUCUGUUGUUUUUUUUUUUACAUUCAUUUGAAUCUCCCAACAAAGAGAUUUUGAGUCGCUCAACUGAGAGAAGCAAAACCUGAAAUGUGUGCAUUGGGUACUUAAUCCCCCUGGAGACUAAUCAGCUGGAUUCAACAUUAAUUUACCACUCCUUUGAUUUGUGAUCCUUCAACUUAUCUUUCCAACAAUAAAUGUCAGCCCUAUAGCCUCAGUCGCUGGUGCUGUCGUUGCUCUACAUUGCCUUCAUUUCACUUGAAGUUACACGUAAACCAAAAACCUAAUAAUAAAAAGUUGGAUUGGAUGCAAAUG
This is a long non-coding RNA of Poecilia latipinna (sailfin molly), 1536 nucleotides long. RefSeq lists it as uncharacterized. The transcript has 2 exons. NCBI's taxonomy places the organism in Eukaryota, Metazoa, Chordata, Actinopteri, Cyprinodontiformes, Poeciliidae. The record is from RefSeq and is a predicted model, not a curated record.